RNAcentral lists this ribosomal RNA (736 nucleotides) under Pseudomonas sp. RNAcentral describes it as "bacterial SSU rRNA". It matches the Rfam family "Bacterial small subunit ribosomal RNA", at positions 57 to 788 of the family's 1533-position model. The record is from RNAcentral. Lineage: Bacteria; Pseudomonadati; Pseudomonadota; Gammaproteobacteria; Pseudomonadales; Pseudomonadaceae.
GCAAGUCGAGCGGAUGAGAAGAGCUUGCUCUUCGAUUCAGCGGCGGACGGGUGAGUAAUGCCUAGGAAUCUGCCUGGUAGUGGGGGACAACGUUUCGAAAGGAACGCUAAUACCGCAUACGUCCUACGGGAGAAAGCAGGGGACCUUCGGGCCUUGCGCUAUCAGAUGAGCCUAGGUCGGAUUAGCUAGUUGGUGGGGUAAAGGCUCACCAAGGCGACGAUCCGUAACUGGUCUGAGAGGAUGAUCAGUCACACUGGAACUGAGACACGGUCCAGACUCCUACGGGAGGCAGCAGUGGGGAAUAUUGGACAAUGGGCGAAAGCCUGAUCCAGCCAUGCCGCGUGUGUGAAGAAGGUCUUCGGAUUGUAAAGCACUUUAAGUUGGGAGGAAGGGCAUUAACCUAAUACGUUAGUGUUUUGACGUUACCGACAGAAUAAGCACCGGCUAACUCUGUGCCAGCAGCCGCGGUAAUACAGAGGGUGCAAGCGUUAAUCGGAAUUACUGGGCGUAAAGCGCGCGUAGGUGGUUUGUUAAGUUGGAUGUGAAAUCCCCGGGCUCAACCUGGGAACUGCAUCCAAAACUGGCAAGCUAGAGUAGGGCAGAGGGUGGUGGAAUUUCCUGUGUAGCGGUGAAAUGCGUAUAUAUAGGAAGGAACACCAGUGGCGAAAGCGACCACCUGGGCUCAUACUGACACUGAGGUGCGAAAGCGUGGGGAGCAAACAGGAUUAGAUACCCU